CAUUAGCAGGUCUAAAGAACUUUUGCCAUUAACCUAUCCUCCAUUUCUUCUCUCUCAGCUCCUGUCACAAGCAAUUAAUGAAGACUCCCGUGCCUUUUGGAUGUUUUUGGAUUUCUACUAGAAGAAAGUUGUCGAGCCGUGCAUCCUCUUAAGACCAAGUGUCUGUGUGAAGUCAGAAACAUCAAUGUUUCAAGGGAUCUUCUUCAAGACGUCAUUGAAGUGGAUGGAUCGGGGAGAGCGCACUUUCAUGACAAUGUCGUCGCCGGGACUUUUCCGUGUGAGCAGAUGCAUAUCAGUUCCUCAUCACAUAUGUGUCCACCCACUGAAGAACUUCAUCUUCAUCUCGCUCGUCGUUGGUGUCGCUGGUGUGUGACGGGCCCCGUUCGUCUCAUCCAGAGCCACUUCUCAUUUCUACACUUCUGUGUUUUCAUUUGGAUUCUCACCGGCCACAAACCCAGAGGAGUCGGGAGAAGUGCUCGCCGCCACCGAGAGAGGCUGUUUUACAUUAAAAAUGCUUUUGAGUUGAGGUAACAUCAUGCUUUAAUAAUGUACAACACCAGGCAGCACGGAGCAAAAUGCAUUUU
Molecule: long non-coding RNA, 584 nt
Filed under: Sinocyclocheilus anshuiensis
Lineage: Eukaryota; Metazoa; Chordata; Actinopteri; Cypriniformes; Cyprinidae
Description: lncRNA (ENSSANG00000012098.1)
Source: RNAcentral